This 347-nucleotide ribosomal RNA is filed under the name Anabaena sp. TP2I009. RNAcentral's name for it is "partial 23S ribosomal RNA". It matches the Rfam family "Bacterial large subunit ribosomal RNA", at positions 2128 to 2473 of the family's 2925-position model. Lineage: Bacteria; Bacillati; Cyanobacteriota; Cyanophyceae; Nostocales; Nostocaceae. The record is from RNAcentral.
CUUGGCUUGCGCAGGAUAGGUGGGAAGCGAAGAACUUCUCCUUGUGGGGGGAAGGGAGCUAACGGUGAGAUACCACUCUGGCGAAGCUAGAAUUCUAACUCAUCUCCGUGAGCCGGAGAGAGGACAGUUUCAGGUGGGCAGUUUGACUGGGGCGGUCGCCUCCUAAAAGGUAACGGAGGCGCGCAAAGGUUCUCUCAGCACGCUUGGAAACCGUGCGGCGAGUGUAAAGGCAAAAAGAGAGCUUGACUGUAAGACCGACAAGUCGAACAGGUACGAAAGUAGGCCUUAGUGAUCCGACGGCGCAGCAUGGAAUGGCCGUCGCUCAACGGAUAAAAGUUACUCUAGGG